RNAcentral lists this transfer RNA (66 nucleotides) under Microhyla minuta (tiny narrow-mouth frog). RNAcentral describes it as "partial tRNA-Val". It matches the Rfam family "tRNA". From Rfam's summary of the family: Transfer RNA (tRNA) molecules are approximately 80 nucleotides in length. Their secondary structure includes four short double-helical elements and three loops (D, anti-codon, and T loops). Further hydrogen bonds mediate the characteristic L-shaped molecular structure. tRNAs have two regions of fundamental functional importance: the anti-codon, which is responsible for specific mRNA codon recognition, and the 3' end, to which the tRNAs corresponding amino acid is attached (by aminoacyl-tRNA synthetases). tRNAs cope with the degeneracy of the genetic code in two manners: having more than one tRNA (with a specific anti-codon) for a particular amino acid; and 'wobble' base-pairing, i.e. permitting non-standard base-pairing at the 3rd anti-codon position. The record is from RNAcentral. Lineage: Eukaryota; Metazoa; Chordata; Amphibia; Anura; Microhylidae.
AUGUAGCUUAAUUAAAGCAUCUCGCUUACACCGAAAAUAUGUCUGUGAAACUCAGAUCAUUUUGAG